GAUGAAGAACGCAGCGAAAUGCGAUAAGUAGUGUGAAUUGCAGAAUUCAGCGAAUCAUCGAAUCUUUGAACGCACAUUGCGCCCCUUGGUAUCCCGAGGGGCAUGCCUGUUCGAGCGUCAUUUCACCACUCAAGCCUGGCUUGGUGUUGGGCGACGUCCUCUUUGGGGACGCGCCUCGAAACGCUCGGCGGCGUGGCACCGGCUUUAAGCGUAGCAGAAUCUUUCGCUUUGGAAGUCGGGGCCCCGUCUGCCGGAAGACCUGCUCGCAAGGUUGACCUCGGAUCAGGCAGGGAUACCCGCUGAACUUAAGCAUAUCAAUAAGCGGAGGA
RNAcentral lists this unclassified non-coding RNA (329 nucleotides) under soil metagenome. RNAcentral describes it as "partial contains 5.8S ribosomal RNA, internal transcribed spacer 2, and large subunit ribosomal RNA". The stretch from base 1 to 120 matches the Rfam family "5.8S ribosomal RNA", at positions 35 to 154 of the family's 154-position model. The record is from RNAcentral.